This 419-nucleotide ribosomal RNA is filed under the name uncultured bacterium. RNAcentral's name for it is "bacterial SSU rRNA". It matches the Rfam family "Bacterial small subunit ribosomal RNA", at positions 358 to 771 of the family's 1533-position model. The record is from RNAcentral.
AGAAUCUUCCGCAAUGGGCGAAAGCCUGACCCAGCGACGCCGCGUGAAGGAUGAAAUCCUUCGGGAUGUAAACUUCGCAAGAACAGGAAGAAUAAGUAAGAGUUAAUAUCUCUUACGAUGACGGUACUGUUUGUAAGCUCCGGCUAACUCCCUGCCACCAGCCGCGGUAAUACGGGGGGAGCAAGCGUUGUUCGGAUUUACUGGGCGUAAAGGGCGCGUAGGCGGCCACCGCAAGUCGACUGUGAAAUCUCCGGGCUUAACCCGGAAAGGUCAGCCGAUACUGCGGGGCUAGAGUGCAGAAGGGGCAACUGGAAUUCUCGGUGUAGCGGUGAAAUGCGUAGAUAUCGAGAGGAACACCUGCGGCGAAGGCGGGUUGCUGGGCUGACACUGACGCUGAUGCGCGAAAGCUAGGGGAGCGA